Molecule: small RNA, 125 nt
Filed under: Marmota monax (woodchuck)
Lineage: Eukaryota; Metazoa; Chordata; Mammalia; Rodentia; Sciuridae
Source: RNAcentral
GCCGGGCAUGGUGAUGCACACCUGUAAUCCUACUGGCUUGGGAGGCUGAGACAGGAGGAUCAUGAGUUCAAAGCCAGCCUCAGCAAAAGUGAGGUGCUAAGCAACUCAGUGAGACCCUGUCUCUA